This is a long non-coding RNA of Chinchilla lanigera (long-tailed chinchilla), 1254 nucleotides long. RefSeq lists it as uncharacterized. Lineage: Eukaryota; Metazoa; Chordata; Mammalia; Rodentia; Chinchillidae. The record is from RefSeq and is a predicted model, not a curated record. The transcript has 4 exons.
AACUGGCUGUGCAACUUUUUGUGAAAAGUUCACUUGGUGAGGCGGGAGAGAUUCUUUGAUCUUGUAGGUCAGGGUGCUGGAAGCUUCAGGCUCCUAAGUUUAUUUUGUGGUCAGGUUGCCAGGUUGCUGAAGAAAGACCUAUGGUUAGGGUGUGAUUCUCUGCCCUGCACUCUGCGUCACUCAGCUUUCAUGGGGGAGGGGGCCAGUGGUUGCGGUUUUCUGAAAGCAUCCAAAGUAGCCCCCUGCCAAGAGUUCUUAGGCCCUAGCAACUCUCAGAGAAAAUUCUGAGAAAUGCUGUGGUGAAAGGCACUUCCUUCCUUUAAACCAGAGUGCUUUGUCAGGGGAGCUGAGCUCUGCACGAUGUGAGAAGGGCUGGUAAGCUGCUCCUAGUGAAAAUCAAACAGGUAUUUGACCGUGCAGUGUAAGUCACCCAGUUGGGACUGGAGGUUGCUGGGCAACCUGCCCAGAACCAGGGUUUGGCUUACCAUUAGUCAAGUCUUGGAGAUUUCCACUGGAUCCUCUGAUUCCAGGAGGAUGAAUAUGGUUCACUGGGAGGCCUGGCCCCUUGACAGCGAGUUCCAGUGAGGACUGAAAAUGGCUUCCACUGCCAAUUUUCCCAAGGCCUCCUGGGAACCGAGGGCCUGGCACGAGCACCGAGAGCAACUGCAAACCAGGUGGACCACGGAUUUCCCAGCCUCUGUGUCCAGCACCAGCAUUCCUAAAAGCUGAUGACAGUUCGCACGCUUCCUCAGGAGUGAACCAGCAUCUCACCCUUCCAAGUCCUGUCCCCCACUCCCUCCCUAGGAGGCAGCCUUGGCCUCUGGGCCUCCUGGGCCUUCCAGAACCUUCUACCCAUGAGUGACCAGGACCUGCUGGACUUCCUGGAUCAUAUAAUUCUGUGGGGUCAAGGGAACCCUCCCCCAUCAAAGAGUCCUCGGAAAAUCUUUAAUGGGAUUGUGUUUUUGUCUGCCUUUCUUUGGGUUCAGCGCAGAGAAAUACCAGCUCCUUGGCACCAGAGAUGUGUGGACUUCUGCAAGUUUUGAGGUGAAUAACUUUAUUCAAGGAUAACCGUUGCGCAUUCCCUGGAAGCUGCAAGGUCUUAUGAUUACCCAUGUAAUUUCCUGGCACAGUUGGUGAUGCCUGAGUCAUCCCAGGAAGCAUCCCGGGUGUCUAUUCCCAAAUGCUUACAUUUGUGUCUCGAGUUCUGAGCUGCUCCUUCAGCUGUGAUUCUCAUUAUAAAACAAUAACCCUCAA